Long non-coding RNA from Gadus macrocephalus (Pacific cod), 555 nucleotides. RefSeq lists it as uncharacterized. NCBI's taxonomy places the organism in Eukaryota, Metazoa, Chordata, Actinopteri, Gadiformes, Gadidae. The transcript has 2 exons. The record is from RefSeq and is a predicted model, not a curated record.
GUAAAGUAACCUACUUCAUUCAAUAUCGAAUAGGCUACUGUAGCCUACACUAUGUACAAAUGGUUUUGCUCUUUGCUCAUGGCAUCAGUCAAUGAUCAAACUAGUAUAUGAAUUACAGUCCAAGCGGGUUAGGCAAGGCAAGGCAAUUUUAUUUUUAUAGCCCGUUUUUACAAACAGUUUGUCUCAAAGGGCUUUACAUAGCAUGAGCAUCAUAACAACAUCCUCUUCCCUUAAACCCUCACAUCGACUGAGUAAAAACUCCCAGGAAAACCCAGGGGAAAAAUUGCAGUUGGUUCAGACUGGGGAUGGAGCUGUGGAGAAUAUGUGGAAACACAGAGAGACUGCGAGACGCCAAGGCCAAAUUACAAGGUGCGAAAGGUGAGGGGGGGGGGGGGGGCUGUACUUAAAUUUAGUUAGAGUGUCUGCCUCUCUGACCCAUGGGGAGAGCUGGUUCCACAGUAAAGGAGCCCAGUAACUGAAUGAUCUACUUCCCAGUCUGUUUUUAGAGAUAAUGGGAGUCACUAACAGACCUGCAUUCUGGGAGCCAAUAAAAAU